RNAcentral lists this ribosomal RNA (290 nucleotides) under uncultured prokaryote. RNAcentral describes it as "partial 16S ribosomal RNA". It matches the Rfam family "Bacterial small subunit ribosomal RNA", at positions 525 to 777 of the family's 1533-position model. The record is from RNAcentral.
ACAACGGAGGCGAGUGUUGUUCAUCAGGACUCGGUGUAAAGGGCAGGUAGGUGGGGAUCGGGAGGCCUUCUUCGAAAUCGAUUCGAUACGGAAUCGAGAAGAGGAAAGGAACACGGUCCCUUGAGUCUGAGAGAGGUAUACGGAAUGACUUCGGGACUAGUGAAAUGGGUUGAUCGAAGUCGGAACUCCAGAGGUGAAGACGGUAUACUGGAUCAGGUGGGCUUCAAAGACGAAGGUCGGAAGCUCAAGAAACUGACGCUGAACUGCGAAAGCAUAGGGAGCAAAAGGGA